Prunus mume (Japanese apricot) is the source of this 606-nucleotide non-coding RNA. NCBI's taxonomy places the organism in Eukaryota, Viridiplantae, Streptophyta, Magnoliopsida, Rosales, Rosaceae. The record is from RefSeq and is a predicted model, not a curated record.
CGCGAUUCUCUCUCACUCAGUCAGUCUUCUCUUCUCUUUUCGUGUCUUCUUCUUUCUUCUUCACAAUCAAAACCCUAAGCGGCGCCUCUCUGUCCCGAGUUCGUCUCUCCAGACCUUGGAUCUUUCGGCGACAGCACCGGCGUCGCUCCUUCGUCGAUCUCUCUCUCUCUCUCUCUUGUCUGGCAGGUAUAAUUUUUCUUUCUUCUGUUUUUGACCUAAGCGGCGCCUCUCUCUCCCAACCUCAGAUCUUGUCUCUCCCGACCUCAGAUCUUUCGGCGACAGCAUCGGCGUUGCUCCUUCAUCGAUCUCUAUCUCUCGUUUGGCAGCUCCCUUAUACACGUGAAUCUGUUUGGUAAGUGAUUAAUAUGCCAUUAGUAUCAUUUGUUCAAACCUGCAGCUCCUUUAUUUGUAUUUUUUGUCAUGGGUUGUAAAAUAUAAUUUGCUGCUUUACUUAUAUUUUUUGUCAUGGGAUGUAAAAUAUAAUUUGGUGCUUUGCUUGUAUUUUUUGUCAUGGGAUGUAAGAACCAACUAAUUUGAUAGUUGGAUGAUGCUUUUGAUUAAGACUUUGUUUAGAAACUUUAAAAAAACAGGUUAUAGAUGGAAAAA